GACGAACGCUGGCGGCGUGCUUAACACAUGCAAGUCGAGCGGUAAGGCCCUUUCGGGGGUACACGAGCGGCGAACGGGUGAGUAACACGUGGGUGACCUGCCCUCAGCUCUGGGAUAAGCCUGGGAAACUGGGUCUAAUACUGGAUAUGACUCCACGGUGCAUGUCGUGGGGUGGAAAGCCUUGUGCGGCUGAGGAUGGGCCCGCGGCCUAUCAGCUUGUUGGUGGGGUGAUGGCCUACCAAGGCGACGACGGGUAGCCGGCCUGAGAGGGCGACCGGCCACACUGGGACUGAGACACGGCCCAGACUCCUACGGGAGGCAGCAGUGGGGAAUCUUGCGCAAUGGGCGAAAGCCUGACGCAGCG
This 364-nucleotide ribosomal RNA is filed under the name uncultured bacterium. RNAcentral's name for it is "bacterial SSU rRNA". It matches the Rfam family "Bacterial small subunit ribosomal RNA", at positions 28 to 393 of the family's 1533-position model. The record is from RNAcentral.